Molecule: non-coding RNA, 445 nt
Organism: Rattus norvegicus (Norway rat)
Lineage: Eukaryota; Metazoa; Chordata; Mammalia; Rodentia; Muridae
Source: RefSeq, a predicted model, not a curated record
AUUUAGUGAGCACCACAGCACGCCACUGACUGGGCUGGGGCUGGUCAGAGGACGCAUAAGACAUGGCUGUACCAUGGAACGACUGCCACAGAAGCAAAUGGAGCCUGGUCUUCAAAAAUCAGGAACAGAGAGAGCGGACAUGGGCAUCUGUUAUUGGAAGGAGAGUUCAGAGAAGCCCCUGAGGAGAGGAGCAGGCGUUCUGACUGGACACAGGUGAGGGAAGAUUCCACAAGAAAGGAGACCAGUGUGACCACCUGUUAGGGCAGCCCCAGUGCUCCGUGUUCAGAGUUCUCUGCCUUCCCUCUCCUUCCCACGUUUCCAUGAAGAAACCUUGAUUCAAGGAACCUGCUCGCCUAGAGCAGCCAUUUUCAUUCCCAUCCAAGAGAGCCUAACACUGUGGUUUUGAAACAGUUCUCAUUGCAGCUGAGUAAACUGGUUUGGCGAC